GCCGGGCGUGAUGGCUCACGCCUGUAAUCCCAGCACUUUGGGAGGCUGAGGUGGGUGGAUCACCUGAGGUCAGGAGUUCGAGACCAUCCUGACCAACAUAGUGAAACCCCAUUUCUA
This 117-nucleotide non-coding RNA is filed under the name Homo sapiens (human). The record is from Rfam by way of RNAcentral. Lineage: Eukaryota; Metazoa; Chordata; Mammalia; Primates; Hominidae.